This 434-nucleotide ribosomal RNA is filed under the name uncultured Lachnospiraceae bacterium. RNAcentral describes it as "bacterial SSU rRNA". It matches the Rfam family "Bacterial small subunit ribosomal RNA", at positions 341 to 792 of the family's 1533-position model. The record is from RNAcentral. Lineage: Bacteria; Bacillati; Bacillota; Clostridia; Lachnospirales; Lachnospiraceae.
ACGGGAGGCAGCAGUGGGGGAUAUUGCACAAUGGGGGAAACCCUGAUGCAGCGACGCCGCGUGAGUGAUGAAGUAUUUCGGUAUGUAAAGCUCUAUCAGCAGGGAAGAAAAUGACGGUACCUGACUAAGAAGCUCCGGCUAAAUACGUGCCAGCAGCCGCGGUAAUACGUAUGGAGCAAGCGUUAUCCGGAUUUACUGGGUGUAAAGGGAGCGUAGACGGUGACGCAAGUCUGAAGUGAAAGGUGUGGGCUCAACCCGCAAACUGCUUUGGAAACUGUGUGACUAGAGUGUCGGAGAGGUAAGUGGAAUUCCUAGUGUAGCGGUGAAAUGCGUAGAUAUUAGGAGGAACACCAGUGGCGAAGGCGGCUUACUGGACGAUAACUGACGUUGAGGCUCGAAAGCGUGGGGAGCAAACAGGAUUAGAUACCCUGGUA